ACGGGAGGCAGCAGUGGGGGAUAUUGCACAAUGGAGGAAACUCUGAUGCAGCAACGCCGCGUGAGGGAAGAAGGUCUUCGGAUUGUAAACCUUUGUUUUUAGUGAAGAAUAAAUGACGGUAGCUAAAGAGGAAGCCACGGCUAACUACGUGCCAGCAGCCGCGGUAAUACGUAGGUGGCAAGCGUUGUCCGGAAUUACUGGGUGUAAAGGGUGCGCAGGCGGGACAGCAAGUUGGAUGUGAAAUACCGGAGCUCAACUCCGGAACUGCAUCCAAAACUGUUGUUCUUGAGUGAAGUAGAGGUAGGCGGAAUUCCGAGUGUAGCGGUGAAAUGCGUAGAUAUUCGGAGGAACACCAGUGGCGAAGGCGGCCUACUGGGCUUUAACUGACGCUGAGGCACGAAAGUAUGGGUAGCAAACAGGAUUAGAUACCCUGGUA
This 436-nucleotide ribosomal RNA is filed under the name uncultured Clostridium sp. RNAcentral describes it as "partial 16S ribosomal RNA". It matches the Rfam family "Bacterial small subunit ribosomal RNA", at positions 341 to 792 of the family's 1533-position model. The record is from RNAcentral. Lineage: Bacteria; Bacillati; Bacillota; Clostridia; Eubacteriales; Clostridiaceae.